Molecule: ribosomal RNA, 404 nt
Filed under: uncultured bacterium
Lineage: Bacteria
Description: bacterial SSU rRNA
Rfam family: Bacterial small subunit ribosomal RNA
Source: RNAcentral
GCACUUUAAGCAGUGAAGAAGACUCUGUGGUUAAUACCCACAGACGAUGACAUUAGCUGCAGAAUAAGCACCGGCUAACUCUGUGCCAGCAGCCGCGGUAAUACAGAGGGUGCAAGCGUUAAUCGGAAUUACUGGGCGUAAAGGGAGCGUAGGUGGCUCGAUAAGUCAGAUGUGAAAUCCCCGGGCUCAACCUGGGAACUGCAUCUGAAACUGUUGAGCUAGAGUAUGUGAGAGGAAGGUAGAAUUCCAGGUGUAGCGGUGAAAUGCGUAGAGAUCUGGAGGAAUACCGAUGGCGAAGGCAGCCUUCUGGCAUAAUACUGACACUGAGGCUCGAAAGCGUGGGUAGCAAACAGGAUUAGAUACCCUGGUAGUCCACGCCGUAAACGAUGUCUACUAGUCGUUGG